Molecule: ribosomal RNA, 253 nt
Filed under: uncultured bacterium
Lineage: Bacteria
Description: partial 16S ribosomal RNA
Rfam family: Bacterial small subunit ribosomal RNA
Source: RNAcentral
UACGUAGGUUGCAAGCGUUGUCCGGAUUUACUGGGUGUAAAGGGCGUGUAGGCGGAGCUGCAAGUCAGAUGUGAAAUCCCGGGGCUCAACCCCGGAACUGCAUUUGAAACUGUGGCCCUUGAGUAUCGGAGAGGCAAGCGGAAUUCCUAGUGUAGCGGUGAAAUGCGUAGAUAUUAGGAGGAACACCAGUGGCGAAGGCGGCUUGCUGGACGACAACUGACGCUGAGGCGCGAAAGCGUGGGGAGCAAACAGG